This 99-nucleotide microRNA precursor is filed under the name Marmota monax (woodchuck). The record is from RNAcentral. Lineage: Eukaryota; Metazoa; Chordata; Mammalia; Rodentia; Sciuridae.
AGCCAGAUAACUGGGUCAGGUUUUCCAUUCCAAGUUUUCUGAGGAAUUUCCAUAUUGCUUUCCAGAGUGGUUGCACCAAUUUGCAGUCCUACCAGUAAU